RNAcentral lists this ribosomal RNA (253 nucleotides) under uncultured bacterium. RNAcentral's name for it is "partial 16S ribosomal RNA". It matches the Rfam family "Bacterial small subunit ribosomal RNA", at positions 524 to 776 of the family's 1533-position model. The record is from RNAcentral.
UACGAAGGGGGCUAGCGUUGCUCGGAAUUACUGGGCGUAAAGGGCGCGUAGGCGGACAGUUUAGUCAGAGGUGAAAGCCCAGGGCUCAACCUUGGAAUUGCCUUUGAUACUGGCUGUCUUGAGUUCGGGAGAGGUGAGUGGAAUGCCGAGUGUAGAGGUGAAAUUCGUAGAUAUUCGGCGGAACACCAGUGGCGAAGGCGACUACCUGGCCCAUUCUUGACGCUGAGGCGCGAAAGCUAGGGGAGCGAACGGG